GGAUGUGAGGGUGAUCUGGCUGUGACAUCUGUCACCCCCCUGAUUGCCAGGGUUGACUCAGACAUAGUUGGCUAGGCAGGUGUCCUCUUCUCCCUCACUGCUCCUUGUGCAUCCUCCUGAAGCUGCAGAAAGCUGUGCACACUCUGCUGCACUCUAUGCUUCCACCUAGGAUAAAGGAGCAUUUUUUCCUCAGUCAAAGAUAUGUGAGCAGUUUUGCUCCCCUCCUCCCCAAACAAGCUCUCAAGAAGUCAGAAUGUGGUUGCAUUUGCAAGGACUGUAACCUCUACAGGAAGGUAGCAUGGGGGAACUUUCU
Unclassified non-coding RNA from Fukomys damarensis (Damara mole-rat), 313 nucleotides. Its record names the gene 7SK. It matches the Rfam family "7SK RNA". From Rfam's summary of the family: 7SK was discovered as an abundant small nuclear RNA in the mid-70s but a possible function has only recently been suggested. Two independent studies have found that 7SK RNA binds the CDK9/cyclin T complex (known as elongation factor P-TEFb). P-TEFb activates transcription by phosphorylating the C-terminal domain of RNA polymerase II. The record is from Ensembl. Lineage: Eukaryota; Metazoa; Chordata; Mammalia; Rodentia; Bathyergidae.